GUGCGGCGGCUAACACAUGCAAGUCGAACGGUAACAGGAAGCAGCUUGCUGCUUUGCUGACGAGUGGCGGACGGGUGAGUAAUGUCUGGGAAACUGCCUGAUGGAGGGGGAUAACUACUGGAAACGGUAGCUAAUACCGCAUAACGUCGCAAGACCAAAGAGGGGGACCUUCGGGCCUCUUGCCAUCAGAUGUGCCCAGAUGGGAUUAGCUAGUAGGUGGGGUAACGGCUCACCUAGGCGACGAUCCCUAGCUGGUCUGAGAGGAUGACCAGCCACACUGGAACUGAGACACGGUCCAGACUCCUACGGGAGGCAGCAGUGGGGAAUAUUGCACAAUGGGCGCAAGCCUGAUGCAGCCAUGCCGCGUGUAUGAAGAAGGCCUUCGGGUUGUAAAGUACUUUCAGCGGGGAGGAAGGCGAUGCGGUUAAUAACCGCGUCGAUUGACGUUACCCGCAGAAGAAGCACCGGCUAACUCCGUGCCAGCAGCCGCGGUAAUACGGAGGGUGCAAGCGUUAAUCGGAAUUACUGGGCGUAAAGCGCACGCAGGCGGUCUGUCAAGUCGGAUGUGAAAUCCCCGGGCUCAACCUGGGAACUGCAUCCGAAACUGGCAGGCUUGAGUCUCGUAGAGGGGGGUAGAAUUCCAGGUGUAGCGGUGAAAUGCGUAGAGAUCUGGAGGAAUACCGGUGGCGAAGGCGGCCCCCUGGACGAAGACUGACGCUCAGGUGCGAAAGCGUGGGGAGCAAACAGGAUUAGAUACCUUGGUAGUCCAA
Molecule: ribosomal RNA, 770 nt
Filed under: Kosakonia cowanii
Lineage: Bacteria; Pseudomonadati; Pseudomonadota; Gammaproteobacteria; Enterobacterales; Enterobacteriaceae
Description: bacterial SSU rRNA
Rfam family: Bacterial small subunit ribosomal RNA
Source: RNAcentral